This 468-nucleotide ribosomal RNA is filed under the name uncultured bacterium. RNAcentral describes it as "partial 16S ribosomal RNA". It matches the Rfam family "Bacterial small subunit ribosomal RNA", at positions 28 to 507 of the family's 1533-position model. The record is from RNAcentral.
GACGAACGCUGGCGGCGUGCUUAACACAUGCAAGUCGAACGGAAAGGCCCUGCUUUUGUGGGGUGCUCGAGUGGCGAACGGGUGAGUAACACGUGAGUAACCUGCCCUUGACUUUGGGAUAACUUCAGGAAACUGGGGCUAAUACCGGAUAGGAUCUCCUGCUGCAUGGUGUGGGUUGGAAAGUUUCGGCGGUUGGGGAUGGACUCGCGGCUUAUCAGCUUGUUGGUGGGGUAGUGGCUUACCAAGGCUUUGACGGAUAGCCGGCCUGGGAGGGUGACCGGCCACAUGGGGACUGAGAUACGGACCAGACUCCUACGGGAGGCAGCAGUGGGGAAUAUUGCACAAUGGGGAGAAGCCUGAUGCAGAAACGCCGCGUGCGGAAUAACGGCCUUCGGGUUGUAAACCGCUUUCGCAUGUGACGAGGCGUGAGUGACGGUAAUGGGUAAAGAAGCACCGGCUAACUACGUG